GACGAACGCUGGCGGCGUGCCUAAUACAUGCAAGUAGAACGCACAGUUUAUACCGUAGCUUGCUACACCAUAGACUGUGAGUUGCGAACGGGUGAGUAACGCGUAGGUAACCUGCCUGGUAGCGGGGGAUAACUAUUGGAAACGAUAGCUAAUACCGCAUAAUAUUGAUUAUUGCAUGAUAAUUAAUUGAAAGGUGCAAUUGCACCACUACCAGAUGGACCUGCGUUGUAUUAGCUAGUAGGUGAGGUAACGGCUCACCUAGGCGACGAUACAUAGCCGACCUGAGAGGGUGGUCGGCCACCCUGGGACUGAGACACGGCCCAGACUCCUUCGGGAGGCAGCAGUAGGGCAUCUUCGGCAAUGGACGGAAGUCUGACCGAGCAACGCCGCGUGAGUGAAGAAGGGUUUCGGAUCGGAAAGCUCGGUUGUCAGGGAAGAACGGGUGUGAGAGUGGAAAGUUCACACUGUGACGGUAUCUUACCAGAAAGGGACGGCUAACUACGUG
Molecule: ribosomal RNA, 505 nt
Filed under: uncultured bacterium
Lineage: Bacteria
Description: partial 16S ribosomal RNA
Rfam family: Bacterial small subunit ribosomal RNA
Source: RNAcentral